Molecule: long non-coding RNA, 612 nt
Filed under: Penaeus japonicus
Lineage: Eukaryota; Metazoa; Arthropoda; Malacostraca; Decapoda; Penaeidae
Description: uncharacterized LOC122250862
Source: RNAcentral
UUUUGUUCCUCGUGUCGAUCACUUCACAGCAACCACCAGCUCACAGUCGUGUGUGGAUACUGUGAACAGUGUACCUCGGAGAAACUAAAGAUGCAAUUAACCAUACCAUUCAGAAAAUAAAAUAGAAAAUGAGAGAGAACGGAAUAAAAUAAGCACAUGAAUAAAUGUAUAAGUGUAAACAUCCGAUAACAUUGAAAAUGAAUUUAGAACCAAGUGACGCUGUAAAAAGUGCAAAAAGUAUCAGCAAGUUACUACAGCAUCAACAUUCGAGUGUGAAUAAAAAAGAAAAAAUCGAAAUUACGGAUAAAACCGAGGAUGAAACACAAGUCAAACAAUGAAACAUGAAAGUCAGAUCUAACUCCAAUUAAAAGAUAAAACAAAUAUAUACAAGAAAGACCAGAUAAAGAAAUAAAUCAAAAUGGCGCCAAAAAUGCCGCGAGGGACUUUAAAUGUUACAAUAUUCGUCGUCUUGUUUGUUUUCGUCAACGGGGAAGUGAUUCAUCGCUCGCGGACGCAGCUCAGCGAUUUAGCCCGGGGCGAGCGGCGUGACUCCAGCUCGGCCGAGGCCCUGACUUGGCUGAGGCAGCAGAUGGCGAUCAUUAGGGGCGAGAG